AUACGUAGGGGGCAAGCGUUGUCCGGAAUUAUUGGGCGUAAAGCGCGCGCAGGCGGUUUCUUAAGUCUGGUGUGAAAGCCCGCAGCUCAACUGCGGAGGGCCACUGGAAACUGGGAAGCUUGAGUGUAGGAGAGGAGAGCGGAAUUCCACGUGUAGCGGUGAAAUGCGUAGAUAUGUGGAGGAACACCCGUGGCGAAAGCGGCUCUCUGGCCUAUAACUGACGCUGAGGCGCGAAAGCGUGGGGAGCAAACAGGAUUAGAUACCCUGGUAGUCCACGCCGUAAACGAUGAGUGCUAGGUGUUGGGGACUCCAAUCCUCAGUGCCGCAGCUAACGCAAUAAGCACUCCGCCUGGGGAGUACGGCCGCAAGGCUGAA
RNAcentral lists this ribosomal RNA (375 nucleotides) under uncultured bacterium. Its description in RNAcentral is "bacterial SSU rRNA". It matches the Rfam family "Bacterial small subunit ribosomal RNA", at positions 523 to 898 of the family's 1533-position model. The record is from RNAcentral.